Molecule: ribosomal RNA, 2614 nt
Filed under: Ploeotia costaversata
Lineage: Eukaryota; Euglenozoa; Ploeotarea; Ploeotiida; Ploeotiidae
Description: partial small subunit ribosomal RNA
Rfam family: Eukaryotic small subunit ribosomal RNA
Source: RNAcentral
CAGUAGGUCCGUGAACGGCUCAUUAAAUCAGCGAUUAUCUACCCAGUUCUGCGGGGCUUGCCCCGUCAGACGGAUACCGACAUUAACUAUGUCGCUAAUACGUGUAAGAAAACUGCUCUCUCAUCCAACACACUGCCCACUGAUAUCAUAUGCUUCUUCUGGCUCUCCUAGUGUUCAUUACGUGUUUCUCCUUCUGGCUCUCUUUAUAUGCGGUCCUCUCUGUGUGUUUGGUAUCAAUAGCUGGUUCCUUCUGCUUACCUUCUGGGUUGGUGGUUGGGCUUGGUUGUUGGUACUGGAUAUGCGGGGUUGAUUUGCAUUGAAGAGUUGGUCGGUUUGGGAUAUCAUGUGUGGAUACAUUCAAUGGGAUUGUUCAGUAAGAACGUGUGUGUAUUUGCGGGGUGGUGUGGAGGGAGCAGUCAGUUGACCGAUAGCAAAACCAACGCCACCAGUUCCAACCAAGCUUCGGCGAGGAGGACUGGUUACAAUGGCAGUGAAACGUGCUUUCUACGCACUCUAACGAUGAACCAGGUCAACCACGAUAAAGCGCAUCAGGCCCCUGUGCCUGGCGCGGAACUGGACGAAUUUCUGCCUUAUCAGCUAUGAUGACAGUGCAGUGAACUGUCAUGGCAAUCACGAGUACGGGGAAUUAGGGUUCGACUCCGGAGAGGGCGCCUGAGAAACGGCGACCAGAUCUAAGGAUUGCAGCAGGCACGCAAAUUGCCCAAUGGCAGUACGUUGUUGAGGCAGUGACGAGAAAUAACAACACCGGCAGAUUACAUAUCGGCCGGUGAUUGUAAUGGACGGUACCCAAAGCCACUGAUGAGUACCCACUGGAGGACAAGUCUGGUGCCAGCACCCGCGGUAAUUCCAGCUCCAGUAGCAUACACUAAUGUUGUUGCGGUUAAAAAGCUCGUAGUUGGAUUCGGAGCUGUGGAUUGCAGGUUUGGUUGCACGCGGAUCUCCGCAAGGAGUUCUGUCGCGCAACCUCCUGCACUCGAUCCUGGGUCUACACACACGGGACCGGUUGCCCCGUCCGCUGCUAGGCCUUCGGGUCUACAGUAGACAUCUUAACGGGCCGUCCGUGGGUGUUACUGUGAACAAAACAGCGUGUUCAAAACAAGCGGGGCUUGCCUCUUGCUUGAAUGAUCUAGCAUGGAAUAACAGGGGAGUGACCUCUUGGUUGCCUCUUCCGUUUGUUGGUUUUGACAGCCGAACAGGGUAACGUAAGACCGGCGUGCCGUGCGGUUGGAUUAGGUGUAUGAGUGUAUUGGAUUGUAUAUCUUCUGUCUCCUCCGUAUCUCUUUAUUUGGGUUCUGGUAUCCCGUGUUGUGGUUCUGUUGUGUGUGCGGCUUGCGACUGUGUAUAUCCAAAUUGCAUUCGGAUUGAGUGUGUGGGGUGUUGUUGUUCAAUGUGUUCUUCUCUGGAAAGGGAUGAAUGUGUUGUGCAGCAGUGCUUUACAUAUGAGGUCCUUUUGUAAGAUGGUGUCCACAUGUUUGUGAGACGUACGUUAUACAUUGCAGAUCAAUGACAUUGGAGAAAGGAUCUGUUUACAAUGAAGGGAAUAUGGUGUUGUGCAGUUGUAUAUGAGACGAUAUUACGAGUCGCUUACAUUCCAGCCGUGCGGCCCCUGUCUCCAUCCAGGAUAAAUCGGGGCACACGGUGAGAUACGUAUUGUGGCGCUAGUGGUGAAAUACUUAGACCGUCACAAGACGAACAUCUGCGAAAGCAUUUCUCAAGCAUGCCUUCUUCAAUCAAGAGCGAUAGCAUGGGGAUCUAAGAUGAUCAGAUACCGUUGUAGUCCAUGCUGUAAACGCUGCCAGCGAGGCUUCGGACGUCAGAUCUGGCAUCCCGACUCGUCCGGCGCCUUCCCCCAUAACGAGAAAUCCGAGCCUGGGUUCCGGGGGGAGUACGUCCGCAAGGCCGAAACUUAAAGGAAUUGACGGAAUGGCACCACAAGGCGUGGAGUGUGCGGCUUAAUUUGACUCAACACGGGAAACCUCGCCAGGUCCGGACUCACUGAGGAUUGACAGAUUGAGAGCUCUUUCUUGAUCGUGAGGGUGGUGGUGCAUGGCCGUGCUGGGUUGGUGGAGUGAUUUGUCUGCUUAAUUGCGAUAACGAACGAGAUCACAACCUCUCACUCGGGCUCUGCUUCGCACUUAUGUAGGGGUGGUCCUGUUGUUCGCUUUCCGAUUCGUCGGGGGAGGGCACUGGUCCAAUUUUACGCCCCGAGAGGCAGGGACUCCAAGCCUUAGAGGGACUGGCGGUGCCCCCUCAACCCCCGGAAGAAUGUGCCUUUCACAGGUCUGUGAUGCUCCGCAAUGUUCUGGACUGCACGCGCACUACACUGGCAUGGUCAACGAGCGACCGACCGCAUUCUUGCGGUUCCUAAUUGGAAGCGAUUUGGAAAUCUUAGCAAACCGUGUCGUGAUCGGGGAUAGGUGAUUGCAAUUAUUCGUCCUGAACGAGGAAUGCCCAGUAAGGGUGAGUCAUCAGCUCACCCUGAUUGCGUCCCUGGCAUUUGUACACACCGCCCGUCGUUGUCAUCGACUGGCUGGAUAACAGAGGUCUUGGGAGACUACGGUUAGAAGUUCGCUUCUCUCCGUCCCGCAAGGGG